This 497-nucleotide ribosomal RNA is filed under the name uncultured bacterium. RNAcentral describes it as "bacterial SSU rRNA". It matches the Rfam family "Bacterial small subunit ribosomal RNA", at positions 899 to 1397 of the family's 1533-position model. The record is from RNAcentral.
ACUCAAAGGAAUUGACGGGGGCCCGCACAAGCGGUGGAGCAUGUGGUUUAAUUCGAAGCAACGCGAAGAACCUUACCAGGUCUUGACAUCCUUUGACCACUCUGGAGACAGAGUCUUCCCUUCGGGGACAAAGUGACAGGUGGUGCAUGGUUGUCGUCAGCUCGUGUCGUGAGAUGUUGGGUUAAGUCCCGCAACGAGCGCAACCCUUAUUGUUAGUUGCCAUCAUUCAGUUGGGCACUCUAGCGAGACUGCCGGUGACAAACCGGAGGAAGGUGGGGAUGACGUCAAAUCAUCAUGCCCCUUAUGACCUGGGCUACACACGUGCUACAAUGGACAGUACAAUGAGUUGCGAGACCGCGAGGUUUAGCUAAUCUCUUAAAGCUGUUCUCAGUUCGGAUUGCAGGCUGCAACUCGCCUGCAUGAAGUCGGAAUCGCUAGUAAUCGUGGAUCAGCACGCCACGGUGAAUACGUUCCCGGGCCUUGUACACACCGCCCGU